AGGGCGACACACACACAUAUCCACGCUGCCUGCUAAAAGUAAACACCAAGAACCGUUAUGUUGCCACUGUGCCACAUUAAAAAAAAAAGAAGAGAAUAAGAAGAGAAACCACAAUGAAGGCUUUAUUCAAAGUAUUAUAACGUUAAUCAGCAGUUUUAAGGCGCCGUUUACAUAUGUUUGUAAGUAAUAAAGAGUACAUAAACAUUAAAUUAGACAGCACAUAUUUUCCCUGUAGGGUGAGCGUAAGUUCCGUAGGCAGUGUUGCCAGUUUUAUGCUCUCACCAAUACACAACCACCGAAUUACUUCAACUGCACAUGCGCAGGAAGCAUGAAUAAGUGCGAUAGACCAUUUAAUUCAGCUAUUUAGUUGUCCGAACAAUUAAAUCGUUUAAAAAACAUUCCUGCUAUUUUGAACUAGCUUAAUUAACGGUGAUUUACCGUUAAAGCGGGAUGGCAAUAGAGGCGAAAUGUUCGAGGACCCUCAGUCCUUUAUCGAUAACCAACGAUAAGUAUCGGUUUUUGAAAUUCCACACAAGAAUUGCUUGAAGGCUAUUCAAAAAGUAACGGCGGACACCUACAUAGAUUAGUGGGUGGAAUAUCUUCGGAUUUUUGAAUUUGCCGAGAGAGAUGCUGAUGCUGGGCUUUCCCGGAGCGCAGUCAGUAGCGCAGCAGUUGUGGGUGAGGGAACAACAACGUCUACGACCCGGCAAAGGCAACUUAUACGGCCGUUUUAACAGGUCACCCCGCCGCACUACAUCCACCUUCAAGUUGCUAAUGGCAAUAACUUUAAUUAUUAAAAGAAGAGUCCCUGGAUUAGGGAAGGAUUGCGGGUUUCUCAACGCAUAAGAG
Molecule: non-coding RNA, 849 nt
Organism: Drosophila kikkawai
Lineage: Eukaryota; Metazoa; Arthropoda; Insecta; Diptera; Drosophilidae
Source: RefSeq, a predicted model, not a curated record